CUUGUGGAUAAAGGACGUCUUUCUAUGCCCAAGCUAGUCGUGCUUUCACAACCUACAACAAUUAUGGCCUUCACCUGGCAAGAUAAGGCAGAAGUAAUACUCUACCUGCUUAGCAAGAGCACCCACAGACUUUAAUGAUUGUGACUUUGCUCUAUAUUCCAAGGAAUUGGAGACAUUUGGGUUCUGAACAGCCUCACCAAGGUCCAAAAAAGACUAUCUCCAGACAUACACAAAAAUCUCAGAGUAUAUUGGGGAGCCCAAACUCAUACAGAUGAGGAAACUAACAAUAGUCCUCAGAUGCAUGCAAAAAACCCUCCAAAAACUAAUGAAGAAAGAAGUUGCAAGAUCAACAUAUCUUCUGCUACAAAAACAAAAAGGGGGAUAUGCAGGGGUUAACAGUCAGCCACCUGUUGCUCUGGCUAAGCCAUGAGAAAAUCACCAUGGGAAAAGAAUAAAAGCAAAAUAUAGCAAUACAGCAUAACCCAGAUAAAAGUACAUCAGGUUGAUCAGCUGGGGUUGUCAUGCCCUGCUAAGCUAAGGAAAAACAUAGUGUGGACCUUGGAACGGCAGGUCUGCGCAAGUUCAGAGCGCUGCUUGUGCACACACCAGGAUGUUUUCCCAAGGCAUAUGCGAGUCUAUGACCUCCAGCUAGGCGAUAGCCCUUGUACAAGAAAACAACAGAUAGUUUAAAGUAAUCAAUAAAAUGGGACAGGUGUCCAGGGACACAGGAGGCUGACUUCAUGGUAGCACAACAGAACCUUGCUACUUGCCAAGACACUAGAUAAAAGUGAUGUGGCUCUGAGGAACAGGGCUCUUGACCCAAGGAGUCUUGAGUCCCCCGGUCCCAUCUUUAAACUUUAAUUUUGCCUCUAGUUUCUUUUUCCCAAACUGUGUGUCAACCACUUUCGAUCCCU
This is a long non-coding RNA of Bos taurus (domestic cattle), 914 nucleotides long. The record is from Ensembl. Lineage: Eukaryota; Metazoa; Chordata; Mammalia; Artiodactyla; Bovidae.